UAGGGAAUCUUCCGCAAUGGGCGAAAGCUUGACGGAGCAACGCCGCGUGAGUGAUGAAGGUCUUCGGAUCGGAAAACUCUGUUAGUAGGGAAGAACAAAUGUGGAAGUAACUAUGCACGUCUUGACGGUACCUAAUAAGAAAGCCACGGCUAACUACGUGCCAGCAGCCGCGGUAAUACGUAGGUGGCAAGCGUUAUCCGGAAUUAUUGGGCGUAAAGCGCGCGUAGGUGGUUUUUUAAGUCUGAUGUGAAAGCCCCCGGCUCAACCGUGGAGGUUCAUUGGAAACUGGAGAACUUGAGUGCAGAAGAGGAAAGUGGAAUUCCAUGUGUAGCGGUGAAAUGCGCAGAGAUAUGGAGGAACACCAGUGGCGAAGGCGACUUUCUGGUCUGUAACUGACGCUGAUGUGCGAAAGCGUGGGGAUCAAACAGG
Molecule: ribosomal RNA, 429 nt
Filed under: Actinomycetes bacterium
Lineage: Bacteria; Bacillati; Actinomycetota; Actinomycetes
Description: Actinobacteria bacterium partial 16S ribosomal RNA
Rfam family: Bacterial small subunit ribosomal RNA
Source: RNAcentral